Procambarus clarkii (red swamp crayfish) is the source of this 752-nucleotide long non-coding RNA. RefSeq lists it as uncharacterized. NCBI's taxonomy places the organism in Eukaryota, Metazoa, Arthropoda, Malacostraca, Decapoda, Cambaridae. The record is from RefSeq and is a predicted model, not a curated record.
UCUUAAUAUAAGCCCAGCGCCCGACUGAGGACCAUCAUUGUCGUAGAGCAACAGAGACAUUCUCACUCAAUACACCUGCCAACUACAUACCUGUCAACUUCACACCUGUUAUACCGGGAUCAGUCUGCCACUGCAACCGCCAAAGAUGAACAUUCAAAAUGUGUUGCUGGUGUUGGUAGCGGUGUUGGGGGCGGUGUUGGGGUCGCCGCAGCUUGUCACUAAGAAGAGAGACUACGACGGCCAGAGGCACCUCGGGACCAGGAACUAUCGUGCCCUCAAAUUUGGCCACAGUGGUUACAAUAGCAGAUAUUUGACAAGACAAUAAGACAAUGAUGAAAUCUACGAUGGCUGAAGCUUUAAUCCUGCCAGAUGGUUCAGGACCCGCUACAGGAGGCGUCACGCUCAUUCCUGCUGUAGUCUACAUGAACCACUUCACACAUGACCUGAUAUAGUCGUGCUGCAGCGCUGUCGACAGCCUUAUGCUGUAGUGCAAUAACAUACAAUACAAUGUGCAGUAACUGCAACCUGUCGAUAGUUGGCUCUCUGGGAUACCAUACGGGUGAAACACCGAGGGAGUGCGUGCGACACACUGCUUGGAUAGCAGCUCCCAAGAUACAUUUCAACCCAUUCCAAUAUGUGUACUUAAGUGUACGAUUUGCUCUCUUUUUAUUGUGUUACAUUUUUAGGCUACUUUUUUGUACUUUUUUUAUAUUUUAAAAGAUUAAUGUUAGUAAAUACAUAUAAAAAUGUAA